AUUGAUUCGAGUUCAGCCAUUUCUUCUGGCGUUAGUUUGACAGACAGAGCUCCAACAUUCUGGUUGAAGUUUUCGAUCUUGGUGGUUCCAGGAAUAGGACAUACAUCAUCACCCUGGUGGUGUACCCAGGCUAACGCCAGCUGCGAUGAAGUGCACUGUUUCCUUGCUGCGAUUUCCUUAACCCGCUCAAAUAGUUGUGAGUUAUGUUCAAGAUUUUCAGGUCGGAACCUAGGCAAACCCUGAGACAAUUGAAACACUAGUUAAUUUCAGCAGCUAAGCCUGAAACAACUCGUCAAGAAGAAAGCAUCAUAGAUUACAGUUUAUGCAACAUUCCAGAUGUACUUGUAACAUGUCCUUUUUGCCAUAACAAAACAUUAAUCCUAGUACUAAACGCAAACCAUCAUGAUAUUGUAUACCACGCAGUUUUUUAUGGGUGCAAGCACGCCAAAUUCCCAUGUACAAGGCGAGUGAGCAGAUUUUGGGAAUCCAGAAGUACUGAAGAAUGAAUAUCAGAGAGAAAGAUUUAAGCAAAACAUUAAGUAUGCAGAACUUUUUGUUUGGACAUGCAUGGGACAAACUAAAGCCACCUGUCUAAUACAAGGAGAUCCUGUAAAUCUGUGUUUUAUUUGAUUGAAUCUUUAAGCAAUCCAAGUGUAUAGCAUAUUUGUAGGAAUAAUGCAAAUGUGAAAGAACUGCUAGGUAAAAUAUAAUGAUCUCAAAGCUAAACUUUUACUUUGUGCAAGUUUCUUCUAUGGAGUUUAGACCACCAAACCACUCCAUAAGAUGGAAGAGACUAUUUUCUGAGGCAUCUAAGCUAACCAAUAUAUUGUCAAAAACUCGUUACUUAAAAGUUUAUUAGGUGAGUUUUCAAGAACGGUUUUAUAUUAUUCUGUAACGCAUAUAACAGUCAAAGGAGGAAAUGUGAUUUGUGACAUUCCUUCCUUUCCAAACUGUAAAAGAUUAUGCUUGUACAAUUGGUUAUUUACUGGACAUGUAUUAUACAGAUCACAAACUCUAUAUUCAAAAAGAAAAGAACCUACCUUUCUGUAGUCACCAUCUGUAAAGCUCUCAACCAACUUAGGCCCAGAGGAAAAGAAUCCCCGUCCUAGAGGACUGUAAGCAACAAUCCCAAUGCCAAGUUCUCUGAACCAUUAGAAUGAUAAGAUCAGAAUCUGGAUAUCUAAGGCAUCCCAUAAACAGCCUAAGGUUUCGGUUAUUUUGAUCUCCAAAGGAAAUUAGUUUUUCUCAUCAAUGCCUCACCUGCAGGUAGGAACAAUCUCUUCCUCCACAUCUCUUGACCACAGUGACCACUCCAACUGCACGGCUGUUAUCGGAUGAACAGCGUGAGCUCUUCUGAUUGUUGAAGCAGAGGCCUCAGACAGACCUAUAUACUUUAUUUUACCUUCUUCAACUAGUUUCUUGAGUUCCCCCAUCUAGCAAAGAAAAGAAUUAUGAGUGCACGACUGCAAGAAAAUUUUCAGCUAGAAUGCAGGGACAGAACCCACUAUUAGCAUUGUCGGCAUCCAACUACGAAAGAGACCAUUGCAAGAUGUCAAUGCACAUAAUGAGCAUGACGGUAUUAUCAGUAACAUGUCUAAUCUAUAAUUUUAGUGGGUUUAUGCUCAAGUUUUAGGGAUUUUUGGAUAUGCCUGUCACAGAUUCUGGAAAAUAUAUCAUCAAGUAAAAGAAAAAUUCUCUAACUAUCAUCAUGGCCAUCGAACGAUCAAGAUUAAUCAGAACAAUAUUCAGAAAUAAAAACAAUUAAAGAGAAAUACCGUAGCUUCAAUAGGAACGCUGGUAUCAAUGCGAUGUUGGUAAUAAAGAUCAAUGGAUUCAAGUUGAAGGCGUUUCAAGCUGGCCUCACAAGCAGCUCUCACAUAAUCAGGAUCCCCUCGAAUCUCAAAACUGCCGUCCUUAAAGCUGGCGCCAAAUUUGGUGGCCAAUUCAACUCUCUGUCGUAAUCCUCCCGCCUUCAAGGCCUUGCCCAGAAGGAUUUCGUUGGUGUGGGGUCCAUAGACAUCAGAGGUGUCGAGUAAAGUGACCCCGGUGUUGACGGCAUGGUUGAUGAGGGCGAUCAUGUCCGAUUCAGGCUUUGGAGGGCCGUAGGCGCCGAAAGACAUGCCCAUGCAUCCAAGUCCCUGUGCUGAUACUUCAAGACCCUGUGACCCCAGCUUGAUCCUUUUCAAUGUUGCCAUCUCUCUUGUUCUUAAGAACUCUAUUGUUAAUUGACACAAUGGCGAAGCAGUUGAAACGAAACCGCAAUAAAUAGAGAAAGGGUGUGCGAGCGCGCGGACGAGACUAAUAUCUAACGUCAGCACCCACGUACUGGAAGUAGCACAGGAUUGUUUGGGAAUUUGAUUUGUCGUUUUUAAAAUAUUUUUUUAUUUAAAAAUAUAUUAAAAUAAUAUUUUUAACAUUUUCUUAGAUAUAUGUGAUCAUUUUAUAUGAAAUUUUUAUGCAGAUUAGUUCAAUAUACAUGUUUUAUGACAAACACUUAUAUAUUAGUUUUAGAUUUUUCUUGUACCUUAACUUAUGAGAACAACUGUUUCCUUUCAUAAAAAAAAAAGGAACAUAAUAUGUACAAUUCUCUACGACUCUAAUAAAUAUCUAGUGUUUAAGAGAACAUCGACCAAGAACAUUUUAAAAAUAAUGUUUUGAUGCAAUAAUAAUCUCAUAAUUAUAACAACUUUAUAAUUUUCUUUGUAAAGUAUUUUUGUCAUAUGAAUUUUAUUUUUACAGUAGAUUUAUAAAUCAUAUGUUAAAUUUAUUAAUCUAAUAUUAUAUAAAUAUUAAAUACAAAUUAACUCUUUAUUAAUAAUAAAUAUAUAUUUAUACAAAUAUAAUAAUAUUAUGUGUAAUUAGUUAAUUGACUAACUGAUCGGCAAUGGCAUGACUCUCUCUAUCUCUUCUAGACACAUUGAAAUUCCAACGCAAACGUUAGUCAAUAAACUCGUCUAGAUAUUUAGUCUAGAAUCUAGAUAUUUAGUGAUUCACUUAUCCUUUUCAAAUCUAAUUUAAAUCUAGCUGAUUCAAUAUAAAAUAAAUAAAUAAAUAAAUAAAUAAAUGAUACUUUGAACAAUUAUUUUUAGGUAAGUCUUUAUAUCGAGUAUAUAAAAUUUUUAGAAAUGAUACUUUGAAUAAUUAUUUGCAAGUUUUUAUAUUGAGUUUGACAUAUAUAAUAUAAAAUUUUUGGUCACUCUCAACAAUUAGAAAAUAAAUAAAUAAAUAAUACUUUGAACAAUUAUUUUCAGGUAAGUUUUUAUAUCAAGUAUGAUAGAUAUAAUAUAAAGUUUGGCAUUGACAUGCAAAUGCUGGACUAUAUUAUAUACAUCAUUCAAUUAGUGCAUGAUCACAAAUUCCGCAACUUGUUCUUCACUGUGCAUAAAGCAUAGAUUUUAAAUCCAAGUAUGGACUGGAAGAUUUACAUGGAAAACUUGUAAUUUCAAGUUUAAUAAAAAAUAGUAUUAUUGGUGUUAUAAAUAUUAUUAUUUUUAGUAUAGUUAGUGGUAUUAAUAUUAAAAAUAAUAUUAUUUUUAUUAUGUUUGAUGGGGACAUGGUGAGGCUGCAGCCUGCAGACCCCAAGCGCACGCCCACUGGGGCUGCGGACAUUUGACGCUUGGCUGCUAGGCCUGGGCGGUGGGCAGACCACGCCCACUGUCCAUGCCCUAGGCUGCAACCACCUGAUGCUUGGUCUACCCAACCUUGGGCACUGGGGGCACACCUGCUCACCUGGCUGCAACCCCAAUUGGCUUGGGUCCUGCGUUAAGACUCAAUGUUCCUGGUCCUGCGACAAGACUUAUUUCUUUUAGAUCAUAACGCAGGACUUAAUGUUCUUGAGUCUUGAGUUGUGUUAUAAACAUUAUUAUUUUUAUUAUAAUUCAAUAAUUCUAAGUAUUAAUAUAAAAAAUAUUAUAAAGUUUAUGUACGUAAUUCUAAAAUAUUAUAAAAAAUGUUAGAGAAUAAUUCUAAGUUGUGUAUGUAAGCAUGAAAACCUCGUACCUAUCACCCUGAACAACACCUGCACAAGCGAUGGAUUCGAGUUCUGCCAUUUCAUCUGGUGUUAUUUCACGUUGCCUGUUAUGCUCCAGAUUUUCUGGACGGAACCUAGGCAGAUCCUGAGACAAUUACUGCAACACAAAUUCAGAAGCUAAGCUUCAGAAAACUCAUCAAAAAGGAAAUCAUCGUAGGUGUAAAGUUUAUGCAAGGCGUUCCAUAUGCACUUGUGACAUUCCUUUUCUAACUAUAAGGUCUUAUGCUACGACAACUGGUUAUUUACUGCGCAAGUACUAGUCGGAAACUUAAUUUUCACAAAGAAGCGUACCGACCUUUCAAAUGUCACCCUCUGAAAAGCUCUUAACUAGCUUAGAUCCCGAUGAAAGGAAUCCCCGUCCUAGGGGACUGUAGGCAACAAUCCCAAUGCCAAGUUCUCUUAUAAAUUAGAAUGACAAAUUUCAUGGCAUGCAAGGCGGAAUGACAGGUUUUUCUCUGAAUAGAAGAGGUUUUGAAUUUGAUCAUAAAUUGUGAUUUUGAAGGAGUUGUUGUCUGUUAUUAUUUUACUAAAAAACUUAUUGGUUUGCGAGAGUUUAAGUAAGAGGACCAGUUGUAUAAGAAAAAGACACAUCAAUCCAGUGCACCUUAGUUGUAUUAUUGAUUGAUUGUUAUUUUAAGCCAUAUUUCUAUUCGUUGGUCUCAUUUAAAGUUCGAGGUAGAUCUUUUUUUAUGAGGAAGUCACUACCCUAUCGGGUUAAAUCCUAACCAUUCUAGAAUUCAAAUUUUAGUAUCACAUUUAUUUUCUACUUUGUAUCUUUAAUAUCUCAGGAUAUACUUUACAAUGUAAUUUUAUACCCUUAAAUAAUAAAGUCUAGAACUAAUUUCUAAUGUUUAUUGCUAUUAACCCAUUUAAUUUAAUAUUGGAAGUAUGUAUUACAUUGUAAAAUUCAUAUCCUGAAUAUUAAUUAAACAAAUUAAUUUUUGUGGUAUUUUUGAGAUUUUGGCUAAAUCUUAAUGAAUAAUCAUAAAUCGAUUACGAUAUUUAUUUGUAUUUUUAAAACAUGAUAAAAAUUCAAUUUGUUUUUGAAAAUAUAUGUGAAAAGAUUUUUAGAAUUUGAUCGUAUGCACGUGAACAAAACAUAUAUAUAUAUAUUUUUAUUUUUGAAAGGAGGAUAUUUUUUGAAUUUUUGGAGAAAAAUCAGUUAUUUUUAAUACGAGUCAGUAUCAUACAAUGUAAGUCUAUAACCUGAUAUUAAAUAGAAUUGUUGAAAAAACACACGAGGGACCCAUAAAUAAUUUUAAAAUGAUCCUUGAAUUUUUUUCCUACUUUUCCGAACUAGUUUAGGGCAUGACUAAACACUACAAUAAUGACAAGAUAAAGAUAAAGCUAAGCUAAAGGAAAUGGUAGGAGGACGUGCUUGCUAAACGUGUCUUUAUCCUAAAAUCAGAGGCAUUGAAAAUGCUUUAAGGCUGUGUUUUGCAAACAUGUCUUAAGGAAAAAAAAAGGCAUUUUUCCUUCGGCAAAAUAGGGCAUGUCAAACACACAUUUAAGGUUGGGUUGGGUUUGGCCCAACCACAUGGGCUGGGCUUAUUAGACCCGAGGCCCAAGCUUAACCUGAUUUUGGGCCGACAGAUGACCCAACAAGCUUCUUCUCCUUUUUGUAUAUAUAUGGAUUGGACCCAGCCCAGUCGCGAGGGCUGGGCUUGGAUUUGGCCCAUUCAGCUUUGUUAAUGGCCCAACCUAGUGACAUUACCUUCGCUAGCAAAUGCAAACAACAUAACGUGAAUUAUUUCACAUUUUGCAUGCACAAAAAGAUGUACUAUAUGUUUUAAAAGGACGAAGAACUCAAGCAAUUCCUAUGAACAAAAACCAUUUUGAUGCUAGUUUAAAACAAACUUGUUUAAAAAAGAACUCGGGCGAUUCACAUAAAUAAGGUUUCUUGAAGGUUGAAUUUCUCUAUGGUAUUGAAGUGCUCAUUUUACUUGUAUAAAUAAUAAAGCAUAAUCAAAGUUUCUUGAAGAGCUCAUUUCACAUGGGAAAGCAUCGUUUACCAAUCCAGAUUGCUUGCCUUUGAUUAAAAAGAGCUUUAUUGGGCACGCAACGUAGGAUUUGGCUUUUGGUCAUGAAAGGAAAUGAUAUUUGUAGGCUCAAAAGGUGUUUAAGAGAUCUUAAAACCAAUGAUCACUAAAUCUCGUUCCCAAACCUUUUUUUUUUGUCAAAGGAUUCCUAGAUCUUAGGGUUGACUAUGCAAAAUAGUUUGACAUGCCCCUAGUGUUUGGACUAUUUGACUUUGAGUGUCAUCAUCAUACUAAUUAUUUCCAUUUUGCAUGGCAUGCUCAACCUUUUUGAAUCUUUGAAUUUCUUCAUGCUCUUGCUUUGUUUGGGCACCUUUGAUAAUUGAGGAUUAUUUUGUAUAUUCUUGCGGUCAAAUUGCUUUUCUAAUCUUGGUACGUUCCCUCAAUAUGGGGUAUGAUCCUAGUCAUGGUUGUUUUGCAAGAAAGACCUACUAGGCUCAAUGAGGACUUGCAAAUGAUAUUUUUUUAAAGUAUUGUGAAGGAUUAUCAAAGAUGACAUUCUCUUAUUUCAAACAUAUGAGUUUAGGAUUAGUAAGCUUUGCUUUUUUUUUUUUCAUUGUGAUUGUUUGGUCAUGCAAAAUUGUUUUCAUCAUAUUUAAAUUAUGAUUGUUAUUCAGCCAACUAAAACUCAGUUUCAAAGUCAUUUAAAUGGUUUGGUUACCUCACUAGGAGAUCACUUGAACUCGCAAAACUCACUUGUAAAAAACAAACACUAAUUUUACCUCUGUAUUUGUACUAAUAACUUUGAUUUUCCAAAAAAUAUUUUUAUAAAAACACAAAAAUGAGGUUUUUUGAGCCUAUGAGAUCAUGUAAAGCUUUUUAAAGUUUACAAAAAGAAAGUGCACCAAAACAUUCCUGGCCAAACUUUGAUCUUUAUUGAUAUAUCGACAAAGUACAUCAUGUAUAAUACUUCUUUAUAAUGUUAGAGUUUACAGGGUUAGGUAAAUCAUCUCCGUCCAUCUUGGUCAAAACCAAGGCUUCUCUGGAAAAGGCUUUACUCACCACAUAUAGUCCUUCAUAUUUUGAUGCCCAUUUGCUCUGAUCUUCUCCUGAUGUUGGUAAGAUCUUUUUCAAUACCUGGUCUUCUUCUUUGAAUACCCCUGUUCUGACUCUCUUGUUGUAUGUCUUAACCAUUUUGCUCUAGUAUAGUUAAUGAUGACAAAUUACUACCAAUCUCUUCUCGUUGAUCAAACUCCACUACUCAAAUUUCAUAUUUGCAUAUUCUGAUUCUUCUAGUUUUGCAUCAUUUAGAACCCUUAAUGAUAGAAUUUCCACUUUUAAAGGUAUUAUCGCUUUUAUCCCAUAUACCAAAAAGUAAAGGGUUGCACCUAUAGAAGUUCUAAUUGUGGUGCAGUAUGCGUAAAGUACGUAUGAAAGCAUCUCGUGCUAGUCUUUGUAGGUGACUAUUAUUUUAUGGAUGAUCUUUUUAAGAUUUUUGUUGGCUGCCUUGACAUUACCAUUCAUCUUGGGUAUGUAAGGAGAAUAAUUAAAGUGCUUAAUCUUACACUUGGUGUAGAGUUCAACAAUCAUCUUCCCAUUAAAAUUUUGAGCAUUGUCAGCUAACAAUUUUUCUAGCAAGCCAUACUGACAAAUCAAAUCUUUCUUGAUGAAUCUCUUGACCAUCUUUUGUGUCACAUGUGCAUAAGAGUUGGUUUCUACCCAUUCAGUGAAGUAGUUAAUGGCCACCAAGAUAAAUUUAUGCCCAUUGAUGGCAUUUGGAUUGAUUGAUCCUAUGACAUCUAAUCCAUACAUAUUGAAAGGCCAAGGCAAGGUCAUAUUGAAUAGGGGUGCCGAAUGUGUAUUUAUCUUAUCCCUAUAUAUCUAACACUUAUAAAAUUUCCUAAUAUAGUUAACACAAUCCCUUUUUAUAGUCAAUCAGAAGUAUCUAAAUCACUGUAUUUGUCUUAUCAUUAUAUGCCUAUUAACAUGAGUGGCACAAAUUCCCUCACGGACCUCUUGUAAAGCUUGCUCAACCUAUUUCUCAUUUAAACACCCAAGUAAAGUCUCGUCGAAUGACCUCCUAUAUAAGAUUUUACAAUCCAAGUUAUAAUCCAUGGUCAUUCUUCUCAAAGUCUUUUCAUCCGUCUUGGAGGCUCCUAAAGGAUAUUCUCGAUGCCGGAUACCAUGGUUUUUCAUUUGUUGUCUCUUCAAGUGAGCAAUAAUGAGCUUGAAAAUUUUUGACUUCAAUGUUUAUUGGUUGAAUCUUGCCCCCAAUAUCAAUAUGUGUCAUCAAAGUGAAGGUGGCCAAGGCGUCGAUAAACUGAUUCUUAUAUCUGCUCAUAUGAUUGGAUUUUAUCUCAUCAAACUUAUUAGCCAACGUCAAAAGAUAAUCUUGGUAUGACCUUAGUUUCAUCCUUAGUUUGCCAUUCCCCCUUCCCUUGGUAGAUAAUUAGUAGUGAAUCUUCAUGAACAUUGAGUUUUCCAACUUUCAGCUCUAAAACAGCUUCUAGACUGAUGAUGCAAGUUUUAUAUUCAUCCAUGUUAUUGUUGCAUUCAAAUUACAACCUCAUCAAAACAUGGUACAACUUCUUUUCUGGAUAAAUUAUCACUGCUAUAGCCCAUUUCUCUAAUAUAUUCAUUACUCCAUCAAAAUACACGGUUCACCAAUUGUUCAACUCAUCGUCAUCCUUAAUUGCUAAUACAUGCUCAUCAUAAAAUUCAAAAUCUAGUGACUUAUAGUCUUCCACAACAUUAUCUGUAAAAUGGUCAAUAAUUGCACUUCCCUUUGUCAUAACCUAAAUUUAGAUUUCCCCUAAAAUUACCAUUGUAUUUUAAAAUGAAAAGCAACUAAAAAAUAAAAAAUGAAAAAUGAAAAAGACUAGCAACUUGGCAAAAGCAAGCUGAAAAGGGUUUCAAAUGCAUGAAAGAACCAAGCUGAAGUUUUAGACAAAAUUGAAAGUCUAAUUAUACCCAAUUAUACCCAAGACUAAAUGAGAAUGCAAAUUCAAGGUCAAACUAAAUGAUUAUUGGAUGAAUUAGCAUAAAAAUUAAGUCUAAGGAUUUAAUUAGACUUUUAAUAGGCUAAUUUUAUUUAAUCAUAUGCCGAAUUAAAUAAUUAAUUAAGUUUAAGAAUUAAUUUUGAUCAAAUUAAAAGAAUUAAUAAAGUGCAAAUACUUAAUUAGACUCUUAAUGGGUUAAAUUAAUUUUACUAGGGACUUAAUUGGAGAAACGUUAACUUUGGAAGCCUAAUCUAGGCUUAAUUGAGAAGAUUGAAAUUUUAGAGGAUGAAAUUUAAUUUUUACCAGCUCAAUCGGCCAAAAUUAGGAACAAAUUGCAAGAAAAUCAAAGUUUGGAGAUCAAAUUGAAAAAUUUUAAAAACCAAGGACCACUUUAUAAAAAACAUAAAAAUUUAAGGGUUUAAUCGACGAAGGCAAGGGAAAAAUUGCAAGGAAUCCAAAAGAUUAGGGCUAAUUGGAGGUUUAAUUACAAAGUUCUAAAGGCUUAGGGACCAAAUUGAAAAAUACAUUAUUUCACUAUUCAUCAUCUUUUUCCCAUUUAAACAAGAGAAAAAAGAUGUCAAGUGCCCACUUUUCAACCCUAAUUUCUCCCUCACCUUUCUCCAUACCACACAAAUCUUAUACUAACUUAUACCUUAAUAUUUGUACUUUACUCUAAGCCAAAAUUCCAGGUCCAAUGGCACCUAAAACACUUGUAGAUUCACUACAAAAACACUAUCCAACAUUGUUCUACCUGCAAAAACAGCCUUGUAUUCUUUCUUUGUCAGUUGCAGAGUAGGACAAGCUUUUGUCCAUACCAUGAAAUAUUAUUCCAUCUCAUAUCCUGGAAGUUUUGAUUCACUCAAAGUCAAAAUUCCACCUCUAAUAGCAUCAAAGCCAUCUGCAGAUUCUCUCUUAGAAAAGCUACCUAGGACUAUUCUACCUGUAAAAAUAGCCUUGGUCCCCCUAUUGUUAGUUGCAGAUCAGGACAAACUUUUGUUCUUAGCUGCACUAAAUGGCUGAGAUCUAUUCUCUAACAUCAAGGGUCAAUAUCCUAUUAAUCCAUGAACCAUAGAACCUCUCCGUUUCUCCGAUAGAAACCCUCUCAUACUCUCUUUCCAUUGGCAAUAAAUUUACCCACAAGUUCACGAACGAAAAUGCUCUGUUGGUAAAACUCUCGUCAGUAAUUUUUAGCAUGUUGGUGAGUCUAUCUGUAAUAAAAUGAUGGAUUUAUUGACGGAAAAGGCAGGAAAAAAAAAACAUACCCACUUCAUUCUGUCAGUAUUCCCUAAAGAAUUUUGCCAUAUAACCGACAGAAAUACCGUAUGUAAUUCUGUCGGUGAUUAAACAAUGACACAAUGACAUUUGCAGUAAUUCUUUUUCAACUUUCUGGAAUAUACCGACGGAUGAAAUCCAUCGGUAAUACUGUCCGUCUUUAUUUAAAAAUAUUUUUUAAAAAAUCUAUUUAAUAGAAGCAAAGAAUAAUUAAAAUAAAAUAAAUUAAUAUAAAUCAACACUCGAUAAUACUUAGGAACUAAGUUGCAAGGAAAAAGAAGAAGAAUAAAAUCAACUCAAACAAAUUUGCAACAAAUAAAUAACAUAAAAAAUAAACAACAACAACAAAUAAAUAAAUCAAUGAAAAAAAUCCUCUUAACCUAGAAAACCUAUUUCAAAACCCAUAAUCCAGUAACAAAUAAAUUAAUUUAAUUGAAAUUGAACAAAUUUGAAAAACAAAAUCCAACUAAAAUAUAAUAAAAUUGAUCUUAUAUGAAAAAAAAAUCUUACAACAACAUUCAUACAAUUAUUAAGAAUAGAAAAAUUUAAAAAUAAAAAAACAAAUAUAAUGUAAAAAAACACAAAAAAGAAAAGAAAAAAUAAUUCAUAAAGUAUGUUAAUUAAAAAAAACUGACAAGAAAAAAGAAGAAAGAGAAGAGAAGACAUACCUGCGCUUGGAGAAGAAGAGAAAAGAAGAGGAGUUGAAGAUAGAAGAGAAAGAAACAAAGGGAUGUUGGUGUUUUUUAUAUAAAGGGAGAAAAAGAAGAAGAAUAAGAAAAAGAAGAGGCAUGUUUGUUAUGAAAAAAGGGAUUAUGGUCUUUUUACUAGGGCAUUUUACCGAUGGUUUUACCGACAUAUAAUUAAAUAUUAAUAUUUUUAAUCAUUUUAUUAGUGAUUUCAUCUAUAAUAUUUAAUUUAAAUCUUCAAUUUAAUCAAAAAAUUUCAGAAACCCUAAAACAAUCACCGACAACUUUUCAAUCCAUCGGUGAUUCUAUCUAUAAUUUUUAAUUCACAUUUUCAAUUUAAUAAAUUUUUUUUAGAAACCCUCUAAAUGUCACUGACGACCUUUUAAUCCAUCGGUGAUUCAAUCUGUAAUAUUUAAUUCAAAUUUUUAAUUUGAUAAAAAAAUUAAGAACCCUCCAAAUAUCACCGAUGACUUUUCAAUCCGUCUGUGAUCCCGUCUAUAAAAAACAAUAAUUAAUAGUGCAAUUAAAAAAUAAACAAUUAUAGAACUCUAUGGAAAAUACCAACAAAAUUAAUCCGUUGGUGAUCCUGUAUGUAAUUAACACAAUGAACAGUGUCAGGGAGAAGGGAACAAUUCCAGAGCUCUGAGGAACCUUUUACUAACAGGUAUACGGACAGAUUUUACCAAUGGUAUUAAUACCGUCGGUAUAAAUAACACGUCAUCAUACUUUUUUGCUUUUUUUUAAUCCUUUUUUUUCCAUUGUAAUUCCCUCAGUAUAUAUCAAAGGAAUAUUUAUGUUGGUGUUUUUCGAUGGAUAUUGACACGAACAAAAGAAAUGAGGUUAUUUGGACUUCUAGAACUCGAGAUAUGGGCUGAACACUGAACAGUGUCGAGGCUGUAGGACAGAUUCCGACUUCUCUGUUGUUGCUACCAUUUGAACUUGAAAAUAGUCCUUUUGAAUCUUGGACUCCUCAUGAAAGUUUUAGGCCUAUGUCUUAGCUUUCUAUCCAUAUAAACCAGACCUAAAUCCAAGUUCUACAGCUCUAGUUAUGAUCCAAUAACCAAAUGGUGUUCCAAUUUGAAUUCAACCAGCAUCUCUUUUCUAAGCUUAGCCCUCUCUUUGUCUUCUCAAUUUUAGUAGUUAAACUCAUCAAUCAAUCAUUUGAUUUAUGUGAUAGGCCUGCAUUUAAAAUGAAUAUUUACCAUAAAUUAAAGGUAUCUUAUAUUAUCAGACUUGUUAUUAUAAAACAUGCUUUAGUUAAGGAGUUAUUGAUACUUCAAGUGCAAAAUGAUGAUAUAAAAUCUUGAUAAAAAUUCACUUUUAAGUACUAAUCAGAUAUAACGAGGGAAUAUUCUGUUGGUAGAAUUCAAUGCAAUUUACCAACAAAAACAUUCUAUUGGUGUUGCCAUUUGUAUUUGCUAAUUUUUUGGUAGUGAAAGGGAAAUAAUGCUUGCAAUUGAAGGCUCCAUAGUGGCAAGAUUCACGAUAGCAGCAAUAGGGGAAGGUUGUACGUCAACAACAACAUGAGAAGAUUCCAAAGCAGAGGGAGAAGAAAAAGACUAAGGAUUCACAACAGCAGCAGGAGAAGCUUUCUAAGCAGAGGGAGAAGAAAAAUUCUACACCAUAGGUUGAGAUGAAGAGUCCAUUAGAGAAAAGAAAAGAAAGUUUUAAAGUGUAAUGGCUCUAAUAUUAACUUGAGAAUAAUAUGAGAUUUAACCUAUUAGUUAGCCAACCGUUCUUAUUUAUAUAUGUAGGGAAAUGUACAAUGGUUAAUGUAGAGAUUACAACACAAGAAUACUAAAACUUUCCUAAAUAUAUUUAUACAAGCCUUUAAUAUAUAAUAUAUUAGAUUAUUAGAUUACACAAACAUUUAUUCUCUUUCUUAGGGCUGAGAUGCAAUUCAUUAGGCUAAGCUCUAAUAUGGAAUCCAUUGCUUUUUCCAUCGAUCAAUAACUAACCUAAAAUGGGUUUUUUUUUUCUAUCUUUUAAACCAAUUUGUCAUCACCCAGUUUUUGAACCCUAGUUUUCAUCCUUUUCCAAAAAAAAAUACAAAACUCACAAAAAACGUGUUUUCAACGCGAUUAGACCAAUGAACAACUAUUUCAUAAUUUUCAACCUUUUUACAUAUUGUUUUUGCAUUUGCAAGUUUUAAAAAUAAUAAAUAAUAUUUAAAGUCUUGUGGGUUUGUGCCUGUUGCACGACAACCCUAAUGGUAUGAUGUCAUCAUGGAAUUUAUUUUUAUGGUGAAAUAAGGUUGAAAAUUAAUACCCCGCAAUGAGGUUGGAUGGAUUGGAUUGCAAAAGCUUUAUCUGAUGCAUAAUAGUUUGGUCUCGAUGUGGAUUUUAAUAUAAGUUUGAUUUUUUGUGAGUUUUAAUGUGCACUGAUCUAUUUGUUAAAUUAUGAUUUUUGGUGAUGUUAUUUUUAAAUUGUGAAUUUUAUUAUGUGUUGUCAUUUUUUUUUUGUGAAAUUUGUAUGUGCAUGCCUGAUUUUCAUUAUGUUUAAUUUUUUUCAUGAUGAAUUUUUUGAAAGUGUUUCCACAUAAAAAGCUAAAAAAACAUAAAAAUCUAUGAAUAUAAAAAAAAAAUGACAUGUUCAUUUAUUUUAUUUGUGUAUUUAGAAUAGGCAAACUUUAGCAUGUAAGAACAUUAAACACAUUUUAUCAUUGAAAAUAAACAACAAUGUAGCUUACCUUAAAUAUGAUGUAUAAGAUGAUGUCUAUCUUCUAUAUUACAUAACCAGCCCCUCACCUAGAACCUCUAAAGACUAAUUAGAAUUUCUAGUUACUAUAAAAUUAGGUGGUGACCCUUUUUCAUAUUUUUUUACCCUUUUUACAUGUAGCUCGCCUCGAUAUCCCCUUCGACACCACUAAUCCAAACCCACCAAAGCACUAAACUUUUGUAAUUUCCAAGACCCCAUUUUAGUACUCAUUUCACUAGAGUUAGAAUUUUCAAGUUCCCUUAAAAGGGGUUUUUUUGGUUCAUCCUAAUAACCAAAACCCAAAACUUGAUUUGACUGAAAAUGAAUCCAACCCCAUAAAAGAAAUAAUUUUGUUCUUUAUCCUCUUUUAUGUUUUUACUUAGUAAAUUAAAUCUAGCCUCCAAGAAGAAUCCAAAGACUAAAGAACCUUAAUUCAACAAAAACCCAACAUCUCAUUCUCCAAAAAUAGGUUUUGCGGCAAUAGAUCUGGAUGAAAUGAAUAUAAGAAUCUAGUGACAAGAAAAGAUAACCAUGGUAAACCAUGAAAUCAUAUGAGAGAAAUCGAUUAUAAUCACUGGUUUUUUUUUUUUGUUCGAUUUGGGUUUAAAAGGAGAGAAAUCGAUUUUUUAGUGAGAAGUUUUUUAGUUUAUUGAUGAGAAAGAAGAAGUUAUCUAUCAUUUGGGUUGAUUUUUAAUAUAAUAUAGAUGGGGGUAUUUUGGUAUUUCUGUUGAAUUUAGAAUUUUUCUUUGACAUGUGAUGGAAAUUGUAAUUUUUCAAAACUUGGUAAGCAAGUUGAAUUUUGACCAAACUAUAAGAUGCUAAGGGUAAUUUUCCAUUUAAUAUUUUAAGACUUGAGGGCUCUUUAGUCAUUAAUUAGAAUAUAAUGACAAUCUCGUAGAUAAUUUAAACUAUUUUGUUAACUUUUUUUAGCGAAGAUGUAAAGUAUUGUACAACUUUAAAAAUUAUUGACUUUAGAUGUAAACUGUAAUUUUUUAAAAAAUAAAGACAAAGCGAAAAAAAAUUUAAAUUAUAAAUGAAAAAUCACACUUGGCAUCCUAAUGUUUGGCACGAAUUGCAAUUACAUGGUGUAGGAAAUUUGAUGAAAUGACCAUAUCGCCUUUAUAUAUAUUGAAAUGAAACUUUAUACACACACACACACACAAUGAGUUUGGAAAAAAGUAAUAAAUUUUUGAUGCAAACGAAGAAGACAAGACCAACAAUAUCAGGAUCCUUGAUCAAACAUAGAGCAUACUUAAAUUUGCAGAAAUAUAAAUUUUGCAAAAAUGUAAAUAAUGUAAAUAGAAAUAGAUAAAUAGAAGUAAGAAUAUAUAUAUAUAUAUAUAUAUAUAUAUAUAUAUAUAUAUAUAUAUAUUAAAAUGAAAACUAACCAAACAACAUAUGAGUAGUUUUGUUACUUUUUCUCUUAGACCAAAUCACCUCCACUCUCUCUCAAUUACAUUUUUCUCUCGUUUUCUGAAUGAAAUUCGUAUCCAGAUCAAUCAAUUUUGUCUAAUUUGAGUUCAUCAAUAACCAUUUAUUUUUCAAAAAUUCCUAAUGGUUUCUUGGUGGAAUUUUUAUUGUUUUUGAGUUUCAAUGGCUCUUUAGUCAUUAAAUAAAUCAUAAUGGUAAACCUAUAAAUAAUUAGAUUUUUUUAAAAAAAAGAUAUUAAGUAUUAGCACAUCUAUAAAUUUAAUCACAAUUCAAACCAAUCCUCGUAAUGUCAAAGAUAGUUUUCAAUUAUAGAAAUAUAAUAUCAAAGAUAUUUUUCAAUUUAAUCACAAUUACUUUUCCCUAAAAACAUUUUUUCUUGGUUGAAAAUACAAGAUGAGGUUUGUUUUUAUCCUUAUGUGAUAUGGAUAUUAGGUUGGAAGUUAAAAGACACAUGUUAAAACUUGCAUUUACUCAUGCAAAAACCAAUAAGGAAGGUGACCCAUACAAACCAUAUAUACCAAUAAUAUAUAAAUCUUUCUUUACAUAUGAAAGCAAUGUUGGGUUCCUGAAUAUUAUACACGCAGCAGAAAUAAUAAAACAAAAUUACCUAAAAGUCCUAUUUAUUUUAUGCAGAUCUAGAGUUAUUUAGGAAUUUAUUACCUGGAGAUUUAAUUUUCUUCAACUUUCAAUAAUUCUUUAAAAAAAAUUGUCGCAAAUCACAAGUCAUUCAAUUGUUCGACCAUAAUCCACACGAACUACUAGUGAAAAAUCUUCUAAAUUUCUAUUUAGGAGAGAGAGAUUGCUAUGCCUAGAGUGCUAGCUCUCUAUUCUAAAUAGACAACUACUCCUUAAAACAAUAUGAGGCACAAUAUAUUAUUUAUAAAAAAUAUGAAAAACCCUAUAAAUUGGUAAGUAUCAAUUUGCCCCUUAAAUAAUAUCCAUAUAUUAUUUAAGGAUAAUUUUAGAAAUUUAAUCAAACAAGUCCCUAUUUGAUUAUUCUAGGACUAGAAUUAUAAUCCCUGAAAUAAAUACAUUUCAAUGCUUAAUUUCUAAAAUUAUUUUCAAUAAAGUCACACUUGAUUAAUUAUCUCGAUUUAAUUUCUAACUGAUAGUUCUUAAUAUGUGUGACCCGUUAUGUUCUUAAUUUCUAACUCUUUUCAAAUCUCAUUCCACCUUGACCAAUGAUUUUUCUAAAACUAUUUUCAAUCAAGUCAUACUUGAUUAAUUAUCUCGGUUUAAUUUCUAACUGAUAGUUCUUAAUAUGUGUGACCCGUUAUGUUCUUAAUUUCUAACUCUUUUCAAAUCUCAUUCCACCUUGACCAAUGAUUUCUCAGUCAAUACUAUUUGAUAACAGAUAAAAUAUUUUCUCCAACUCUCCUAGGAUGAUGAAUUCUCUCUUGAUCACUAAAAUACUUUCAUAUAGUUCAUGUUAUUCUCAAUGUUUGUCAUUUCAUCUCCUUGAUUAAGAUAACAUGUAAUGACAUCAAACCAUAAUAUUUUUUUUUAUAUAAGAUAACUUAGUGACUCAAGUCUAAAGAUCACUUACACAACCGUUAUGUGAGCCUUUCCAUUGACAUAUAUGAUCUUCUUCAUAUAGAAUCCUCAUGCUGGUCAAGUUAGUAUAUAUAUCCUAUGAUAAGCACCUACAUAUUAGUUCUAUGUAUCCCUUAUACCCCAGCUUAUGAGAACAACCACUUCCUUUCACAAAGAAAAGAACAUAACAUGUACUAGUCUCUACGACUCUAAUAAAUGUUCAAUAUUUAAGAGAGCAUCGACCAUAAAUAUUUUAAUAUCAAUGCUUUGAUGCAAUAAUAAUCUCAUAAUUAUAACUUUAUAAUUUCAUUUGCAAAACAGUUUUUUACCAUAAACAUUAUCUUUACUCUAGAUUCAUAAAUCAAAUAUUAAAUUUAUUAAUCUAAUAUUAUAUAAAUAUUAAUGAUAAAUUAACUUUUUAUUAAUAACAAAUAUAUAUUUACACAAAUAUAAUAAUUAUUUUAUAUAACUACAUGAUAUAUUAAACUAACAAGUCAAGGCAAUGACAUGACUCUCUUUUGGAUACACAUUGAAAUCCCAACGCAAACAGCCAUUGACAUGCAAAUGCUAGACUAUAUACAACCUUCAAUUAGUGCAUGAUCACAAACCCCGCGACUUGUUUUCCCCUUUGCAUAAAGCAUAGAUGUUAAAUCCAAGUAUGGAUUGGAAGAUUUACAUGGAAAACUUGGAAUUUCGAGUUUAACCGGAGCCAAGUUUUUAGCAUAAAAUAUAGUUGUUAAAUCCGACUAGAUUUUUAAUGAUCCACUUAAUCUCGCUAAAUCUAAUUCAAACCUAGCCUGCUGAUUCAAUAAAAAAAUAAAUAAAUGAUACGGCUUUAAUAAAAAUAAUUGAACAACUAUUUUCUAAAUAAGUCCUUAAAUCGAGUAUGACAGGUAUAAUACAGAGGUUCUAGUCACUCUCAACAAUUAGAAAUUUCAAUGAGGACAAACUAUGAAACACCAUCUUUUUAUAGCAAAGCUAAAAGAAAGUUGCAAUAAUUUUAGAUUACGAAAACAUUUAUUAUCUUCAGAAGUUCAGAUGGUGUACAAACUCUUAUUCUCUUCAGAAGUUCAGAUGGUGUACAAACUCACACAAUUUUCGAAAACUUCAAAGGGAGCUGAAAUCCACGAGUAGAAGCAAGACAGCAUGGCAUGGCCGUAUGCCUUCUAUACAGCUUUCCAUGAUUUAAGAGGUGGAGUAUCUGAAUCCUUGAAUGUAGACAGGCCAUCGCCAUACCGAUCUCCCCUUACAGCAUCUGAAGAAGCUAUUGAUUCGAGUUCAGCCAUUUCUUCUGGCGUUAGUUUGACAGACAUAGCUCCAACAUUCUGGUUGAAGUUUUCGAUCUUGGUGGUUCCAGGAAUAGGACAUACAUCAUCACCCUGGUGGUGUACCCAGGCCAACGCCAGCUGCGAUGAAGUGCACUGUUUCCUUGCUGCGAUUUCAUUAACCCGCUCAAAUAGUUGUGUGUUAUGUUCAAGAUUUUCAGGUCGGAACCUAGGCAAACCCUGAGACAAUUGAAACACUAGCUAGUUAAUUUCAGCAGCUAAGCCUGAAACAACUCAUCAAGAAGAAAGCAUCAUAGAUUACAGUUUAUGCAACAUUCCAGAUGUACUUGUAACAUGUCCUUUUUGCCAUAACAAAACAUUAAUCCUAGUACUAAACGCAAACCAUCAUGAUAUUGUAUACCACGCAGUUUUUUAUGGGUGCAAGCACGCCAAAUUCCCAUGUACAAGGCGAGUGAGCAGAUUUUAGGAAUCCAGAAGUACUGAAGAAUGAAUAUCAGAGAGAAAGAUUUAAGCAAAACAUUAAGUAUGCAGAACUUUUUGUUUGGACAUGCAUGGGACAAACUAAAGCCACCUGUCUAAUACAAGGAGAUCCUGUAAAUCUGUGUUUUAUUUGAUUGAAUCUUUAAGCAAUCCAAGUGUAUAGCAUAUUUGUAGGAAUAAUGCAAAUGUGAAAGAACUGCUAGGUAAAAUAUAAUGAUCUCAAAGCUAAACUUUUACUUUGUAUAGCAUAUUUGUAGGAAUAAGCUAACCAAUAUAUUGUCAAAAACUCGUUACUUAAAAGUUUAUUAGGUGAGUUUUCAAGAACGGUUUUAUAUUAUUCUGUAACGCAUAUAACUGUCAAAGGAGGAAAUGUGAUUUGUGACAUUCCUUCCUUUCCAAACUGUAAAAGAUUAUGCUUGUACAAUUGGUUAUUUACUGGACAUGUAUUAUACAGAUCACAAACUCUAUAUUCAAAAAGAAAAGAACCUACCUUUCUGUAGUCACCAUCUGUAAGGCUCUCAACCAACUUAGGCCCAGAGGAAAAGAAUCCCCGUCCUAGAGGACUGUAAGCAACAAUCCCAAUGCCAAGUUCUCUGAACCAUUAGAAUGAUAAGAUCAGAAUCUGGAUAUCUAAGGCAUCCCAUAAACAGCCUAAGGUUUCGGUUAUUUUGAUCUCCAAAGGAAAUUAGUUUUUCUCAUCAAUGCCUCACCUGCAGGUAGGAACAAUCUCUUCCUCCACAUCUCUUGACCACAGUGACCACUCCAACUGCACGGCUGUUAUCGGAUGAACAGCGUGAGCUCUUCUGAUUGUUGAAGCAGAGGCCUCAGACAGACCUAUAUACUUUAUUUUACCUUCUUCAACUAGUUUCUUGAGUUCCCCCAUCUAGCAAAGAAAAGAAUUAUGAGUGCACAACUGCAAGACAUUUUUCAGCUAGAAUGCAGGGACAGUACCCAAUAGUAGCAUUGUCAGAAUCCAGCUACGAAAGAGACCAUUGCAAGAUGUCAAUGCACAUAAUAAGCAUGACGGUAUCAUCAGUACUGUGUCUAAUCUAUAAUUAUAGUGGGUUUAUGCUGAAGUUUUAGGAUUUUUGGAUAUUCCUGUGACAGAUUCUGGAAAAUAUAUCAUCAAGUAAAAGAAAAUUCUCUAACUAUCAUCAUAGCCAUCGAACGAUCAAGAUUAAUCAGAACAAUAUUCAGAAAUAAAAACAAUUAAAGAGAAAUACCGUAGCUUCAAUAGGAACGCUGGUAUCAAUGCGAUGUUGGUAAUAAAGAUCAAUGGAUUCAAGUUGAAGGCGUUUCAAGCUGGCCUCACAAGCAGCUCUCACAUAAUCAGGAUCCCCUCGAACCUCAAAACUGCCGUCCUUAAAGCUGGCGCCAAAUUUGGUGGCCAAUUCAACUCUCUGUCGUAAUCCUCCCGCCUUCAAGGCCUUGCCCAGAAGGAUUUCGUUGGUGUGGGGUCCAUAGACAUCAGAGGUGUCGAGUAAAGUGACCCCGGUGUUGACGGCAUGGUUGAUGAGGGCGAUCAUGUCCGAUUCAGGCUUUGGAGGGCCGUAGCCGAAAGACAUGCCCAUGCAUCCAAGUCCCUGUGCUGAUACUUCAAGACCCUGUGACCCCAGCUUGAUCCUUUUCAAUGUUGCCAUCUCUCUUGUUCUUAAGAACUCUAUUGUUAAUUGACACAAUGGCGAAGCAGUUGAAACGAAACCGCAAUAAAUAGAGAAAGGGUGUGCGAGCGCGCGGACGAGACUAAUAUCUAACGUCAGCACCCACGUACUGGAAGUAGCACAGGAUUGUUUGGGAAUUUGAUUUGUCGUUUUUAAAAUAUUUUUUUAUUUAAAAAUAUAUUAAAAUAAUAUUUUUAACACUCAUAUGUAAAUUCAAUCUACUUUAUCAAUAAACAAAUUCAGCUUGGAAUUAUCGCAGGAACUGAAAUUGAUGUUUCAGCUAACCGAUCCAUUAUAAGAGCAGCCGUUCACUUGAUGGAUGCAUUUCAAUUGUGAGCCGCCAACUUAAAAAAAUUAAAAAAAAUAUUUAAAAUUUUAAUAUUUCAUAUAAAAAAAUAAAAAAUAAUUUAUAUAAAUAUAAGUUAUAUAUAUUAUAAACAAUGAAGUUUAAAAUAUUAUUUGAAAAAAUUUUUUUAUUCAAAACAUAAUAUUCUUUAUAUAAAAUAGUUUAGUAAUCUCAAGUCCAAUAAUCAGUUACACAACCGUCCCAUUAAUAUUUUCUUAGAUAUAUGUGAUCAUUUUAUAUGAAAUUUUUAUGCAGAUCAGUUCAAUAUACAUGUUUUAUGACAAACACUUAUAUAUUAGUUUUAGAUUUUUCUUGUACCUUAACUUAUGAGAACAACUGUUUCCUUUCAUAAAAAAAAAAAAGAACAUAAUAUGUACAAUUCUCUACGACUCUAAUAAAUAUCUAGUGUUUAAGAGAACAUCGACCAAGAACAUUUUAAGAAUAAUGUUUUGAUGCAAUAAUAAUCUCAUAAUUAUAACAACUUUAUAAUUUUCUUUGUAAAGUAUUUUUGUCAUAUGAAUUUUAUUUUUACAGUAGAUUUAUAAAUCAUAUGUUAAAUUUAUUAAUCUAAUAUUAUAUAAAUAUUAAAUACAAAUUAACUCUUUAUUAAUAAUAAAUAUAUAUUUAUACAAAUAUAAUAAUAUUAUGUGUAAUUAGUUAAUUGACUAACUUAUCGGCAAUGGCAUGACUCUCUCUAUCUCUUCUAGACACAUUGAAAUUCCAACGCAAACGCCAUUGACAUGCAAAUGCUUAGACUAUAUUAUAUACAUAAUUCAAUUAGUGCAUGAUCACAAAUUCCGCAACUUGUUCUCCACUAUGCAUAAAGCAUAGAUUUUAAAUCCAAGUAUGGGCUGGAAGAUUUACAUGGAAAACUUGUAAUUUCAAGUUUAAUAAAAAACAAUAUUAUUGAUGUUAUAGAUAUUAUUAUUUUUAGUAUAAUUAAUGGUAUUAAUAUUAAAAAAAAUAUUAUUUUUAUUAUUUGUGUUCUAAAUAUUUUGUUUUUUAUAAUUAAACGUAUUCAUAUCAAAUAUAUUAUUAUUUGUGUUAUAAUUUUUUGUUUAUAAUUCAACAUAUUCAUAUUAAAGAUAUUAUUAUUUGUGUUAGAAAUAUUGUCGGGUUUCUAAAUAUAAUUAUCUGUGUUAUAAAUAUUAUUGUUUUUAUUAUAAUUCAACGUAUUCAUAUUAAAGAUAUUAUUAUUUGUGUUAUAUUAUUAUUAUUUUUAUUAUAAUUCAAAGUAAUAAUAUAAAAAAUAUUAUUUCUUGUAUUAUAAAUAUUCUUGGAAUUCUUAAUAUAAUUAUUUGUGUUAUAAAUAUUAUUAUUUUUAUUAUAAUUCUAAAUUAUCAUCUCUAAAAUAUGAUUAUUUGUGUUAGAAAUAUUGUUGGGUUUACAAAUAUAAUUAUUUGUGUUAUAAUUAUUAUUAUUUUUGUUAUAAUUCAAAGUAUUAAUAGAAAAUAUAUUAUUAUUAUUUGUGGUAUAAAUAUUAUUAUUUUUAUUAUAAUUCUCCUGGUUGCUGAACCAAUUGGCCUUGGGUUCUUUGUCAGGAUCUAAUUGGAUUGGGUCUGCGGUCGGACCCAUUUCUCUUGGGUCCUGUGGCCGGACCCGUUUCGCUUGGGUCUUGCCUCAGAUAUGUUAGUAUAUUAUUCUUUUAAUUUAAAAUAUUUAAAUAAUAUAUAUAUAUAUAUAUAUAUAUAUAUAUAUAUAUAUAUAUAUAUAUAUAUAUUAAAGAACUUCAAAUCCCACAUUAAAAAAAUAAUUUUUUUCUAUAAUAAAUCAAUCUAUAAUAAAAGGAUAAAAAAAUAAAAUCAUAUCAGACUUAAGUAAAGAGACUGAGAUUACCCUGUAGAAAGACAAACACAAAAGAAGAGAGAGUAGAAUAUCCAAAUACAAAACAAUCUCAAAUCCAAGAAAUGUAGACCAAAUUUAGUAUAAAAACUAAAUAAAGAAAAAUAAUUAGAGACUAAAUUCAAAAAAUAAAUAAAUUAAGAUACUGAGGGAUAUAAUUGAAAAAAAUAGAUAAAUAAAAAGAAUAAGAAAAUAGCAAUAAAAAAGAUGACCAAAAUUGGAUAAAAAAUUAAAUGCAAUAAAAUGAUUAGGGAUGAAAUUGAAAAAACUAAAAAAAUCAAGAAAAGGAUAAAACACCAAAAAAGAGUAAUCAAAUUAAUGAGGAUCAAAUUAGAUAUAAAAAUUAAAUGAUAUAAAAUUCUCAGAGAUGAAAUAAAUAAAAAACUAAAAAUACAAAAAAAUAUUAAAAGCAACACAAAUAGUAAUUAAGAGAAUGAGGGUCAAGAUUAAUAGAAAUACAAAAUAAGGAUAUUUUGUUUUUGGAUGGGCUGACAUAAAUUUUUAGGUUAGGAGAAAGAAAUUAAAGAAGGACAAAAAAAAACUUGCUAGGAGCCAACCGUGUCUCCUCCAGAAACACGCACCACACUACUAGAAAGAGAAAGAUGAGCCUCUCCUAACGCUUCCUUAUAUGGUGGAAUUUGAUAGUCGGAAAGGCCCUAUAUGCGCCUCUCGCGGGAACUGUCAUGCACUAAUGCGUCAACAAUUUUUUUUUAUAAUAAUAUUUAGUCUUUUAAAAUGACAAAACAACCUUUAGACCAACCCAAAAAUAACAAAAAAAACUAUAAGUAAAAACAAAAAAUAUCCUUGAAAUCAGAUGUAUAAGUUUUUAAUUUUAAGGGUAAUACUGUAACUUUAUUGUUCAAAAAACUGAAAAUACAAAAAAAAACCCCUAAUUUAAUGGUUAUUUUCUCUAAAAGACAUAAGUGAAGUUUUAUUGUGCAAAUAAUAAUAACAAGACAAAGUAAUUUAACAGUGCAAAAAAAAGUGUACUAACCAAUUUAUCCCAACCAAUUUUGUAAUGCCUAAUGGAUUUAUUAGAAAAGACAAUUCGACCCCUACCAGCCAUGCUUUUGGUUUGUGUGGAGAAGGGAAAAAAACAAUUUAUAUGCUAAUCCAUGAUGAAUUGUGUCACAGCUAUAAUAAAUAAAUGUUUGAUCUCUUUUUUUAUUUUAUUUUAUAAUUCACUAUUUUAAGUGCAAUAGGUGUUGUAUUCAUUUCCUUGUUAUUUUAUGUAGAAUUUCAAUUCAAUUUAUAAUGUAAGAGAAGGAAGUGUUUGCAUUAUAUCAUGAUUUUUCUUAAUUGAAAAAUGAAAAGAUAAUGUAUAAUAGAAUAAAUUGAAAAAUAUAUAUGAAUUGAUAAAUUGAAAAUGAAAAGAUAUAUAUGUUUUUAAAUUUCAUAAUGCUUUGAAGAGAUUAUUAUAAUUUAUCUACCAUUAUUUUUAUUUUUAUUUUAUGUAAGUGAGUUGUAUUUACAUGAUAUUUUUUUAAAAAAACAAAAAUAGUUUGUUAUUAGUAACAAAGAUAAAAUAAAUUAAAAAAAUUAAAAAAAUCAAUAUAAAAUAUUUAUACAUACAUCAAUCUCUUACUUUAUAAAAAAUAAAUAUACAAAACUGACAUAAAUAUAAACAAACUCAAAAUCUUAUUUUUCUCCCGCGUAUAGAAGUUCUGCUCACUCUCAACAAUUAUAAAAUUCUAACAAGACAAAGUAAUUACGAAAGACCAGCUUUCUAUAGCAAAGCAAAAACACAGAAUUAAUGGUAAAAUUAAAUUAUGGGGAAAAAACAUAUAUCUCUACAGAUGGUGUGCAAAUUUGAUAGAAACCGAUAUGCAAGAACACUUGAUGAAUACUGAAUUGUAUGUCAAUCAUGAAUGAACAAUCGUUUGGCUUUAUAUAGCCUUUACAAUACUGCAGGGUAACUAAUAACUGCUGCCCCGUGAUCCAAGGAAUCAGUUUGUUAGCUAAGAAUUGAACACUAACAAACUUACCUGACUUGACUAAUUGCCAGCUAGAUUAACUAACUAACAACUUUAACAUAUUUAGCUAACAGUAAUAGUGACAGUUAUGGAAUACUUCUCAACAUUCUUUCCUUUAAACUAAUUCUGUGUAACAAUUAGUUUACUUCAGGCAUCACACAGACUCCUAUUUGUUCUCGAAGGUCUUUAAAUGUCUGUAGUUUAACUGGUUUUGUCAGCAGGUCAAUUAUUUGAUCUUGUGAGCCACAAUGCACAAGUUCAAUGACCUUGUCUCGAGUUAAAUCACGUAAGAAAUGGAAUCUCACAUCAAUGUGUUUGCUGCGUCCAUGCAUAAUGGGGUUUCUUGAGAGCUUGAUGGUUGAACUGUUAUGUAACACCCCACCUUACUAGCAAGAUAUUGUCCGCUUUGGGCCUCUUAGUCCACCCAAAUCCAGGGCUUCCACCCUUGUCCCCCUUUCGGGUUUGUUCUUAGCAGUCACGCAUGGCCCCAAAACGCGUCUUACUAGUCAAGGUGAGCAUGCACUUAUAAGGCCCUUGCUCUGGACGCUCGCUUCUGAUGUGGGAUCUUACAAUCUCCCCACCUUAAGACGAGUCGUCCUCGGCUUUGAUACCAAAUGUAACACCCCACAUUACUAGCAAGAUAUUGUCCGCUUUGGGCCUCCCAGUCCACCCAAAUCCAGGGCUUCCACCCAGGUCCCCCUCACGGGUUUGUUCUUGGCAGCCACACAUGAACCUAAAACGCGUCUUACUAGUCAAGGUGAGCAUGCACUUAUAAGGCCUUGGCUCUGGACGCUCGCUUCCGAAGUGGGAUCUUACAUGUUAUCACACAUUAAGAUGGUGCAACCUUUUUGUUCAUGAUUUAACUUCUCCAGAAUCCUUCUCAUCCAUACUGCUUGACACGCACAAGCUGCUGUUGCCACGAAUUCUGCUUCAGUUGUUGACAGAGUAACUAUAGACUGCUUCUUUGAUGACCAUGAAACUGCUCCACUCUAGUCGAAUGUACUCUUUCUGUCUGUAAUGUCUCCUGCAUAGUCAUUAUCAGUGUAUGCAAUCAGCUGCUUGUUCUCAUUCUUCUUGUAGAAUAUACCAUAAUUGAUGGUGCCCUUCAAGUAUCUUAAUAUUCUUUUAGCAGCUUGUAGAUACACUUCUGUUGGACUAGCCAUAAACCUGCUAAUAAAACUCACCCCAAACAUGAUAUCUGGCCUUGUAGCAGUGAUAUACAUAAGACUUCCUACUAUCUGUUUAUAGUAAGUCUCAUCGAUUUUUUUUCCUUCUCCAAUUUUGUCAGUUUUGAAGCCAGGGACUAUGGGAUUCAUUACUGCCUUACUUUUUUCCAUUCCAAACCGUUUCAGAACCUCUAGUGUAUAUUUCCGUUGACAGAUAUAGAUUCCAUUAGUCUGUUGCAGUACUUCUAUGCCUAAGAAGAACCUUAUUCUUCCUAGAUCAGUCAUGUCAAAUACCCUCAUCAUUGAUUGUUUGAAUUCCAGCAUCAUCUGUUUAUCAUCUCCAGUGAAAAUCAAGUCAUUCACAUAAACACUCAUAAUAAGGAUUCUGCCUCCACUGGUUUUAACAAACAAAGUUUGUUCACUGAUGCACUUCUGAAAUCCUUCAUGGGUGAAGUAAGCUUCAAUUCGACUAAACCAAGCUCGAGGGGCUUGUUUUAGUCCAUACAAAGCUUUGUGUAAUUUGUAGACCUUGUGCUCAUUUCCUUUCUGCUCAUAUCCUUUUGGUUGUUCUACAAAUAAAUCCUUACUUAAUUCUCCAUGCAGAAAAGCCGACUUAACAUCUAAUUGAUAGAUGAGCCAACCUUUUUUAGCAGCUAGUGCAAUGAUCAGCCGAACAGUGUCCAUUCUUACCACAGGAGCAAAUACUUAUGUGUAAUCCACACCAUGUUGUUGAGCAUAACCCUUUGCAACUAACCUGGCUUUGAGCUUAUCCACUUUACCAGACUCAUUUAUCUUGGUCUUGUAUAUCCAUUUCACCCCAAUCUUCUUAGUUCCAGCUGGUAAUUCAGUUAAACUCCAUGUCUCAUUCUUCUGAAUUGACUCCAUUUCAGUAUCCAUGGCUUCCCUCCACUUGUAACUUUUUACUGCCUUUUCAUAACUCACGGGGUCAUCAGAAGUUACAAUUGCCAUAUUCAAUUCAGUUUCUUCUUCUGACAGUCCUUCACCAGAGACAUAGUCUCUCAUCCAACUGGGCAUAAUUGUCUCCCUCCUUGUAUGCAGAUUGACAUCUUCUUCAUAUAUUGUGUUGGCAGGAGCAUUGCUGGAUUCUUCAAUGCCAUCCCAAUUUGACUCUGCACCUGAGUUUGCAAUAUUAUGCCCAAUUACCUCUGCAUCUCCACUACUGUUUGCUUCAUCUCCAUCAAUUUCACCUUCUUCUCCCCAUUCUAAGUUCAUUUGUAACUCCUCUUUAUAACUGACAUCCCAGUCCCAGUGUUUCUCUUCUUCAAAGAUUAUGUCCCUGCUAGUUAUAAUUUUCUUUGUUACAGGGUCAUACAAUCUAUAGCCUUUUGAUUCUUCGCUUACUCCCAACAGUAUACAGCGUACACUCUUGUUUUCCAGUUUGGUUCAUCUUACAUUUGGUAUAUGCACAUGAGCUACACAUCCAAACACUCUAAAGUGUUUAACUGAGGGCUUCUUUCCAGUCCACACUUCUUCUGGAGUCAUGUCUUUUACAACAUUAGUAGGGCAUCUGUUCAAUACAUAUAUGAUCCAGUUUACUGCCUCAACCCAGAAGCUUUUAGGAAUCUUCUUUUCUGAAAGCAUUGAUCUUACCAAGUUCAUUACUAUACUAUUCUUCCUCUCAGCCACUCCAUUUUGUUGAGGGGUGUAGGCUGUAGUUAGCUGUCUUUUGAUGCCAUUCUGCUUACAAAACUCAUUGAAUUCCAGUGAGUUGAAUUUACCACCUCUAUCUGUUCUUAUACACUUGAUGUAUUGUCCAGUUUCUUUUUCAACAAGCUUCUUAAAGUACUGGAAAUGCUGGAGAGCUUCUGAUUUUUCUGCUAGGAAAUAAACCCAGGCCUUUCUGCUAUAGUCAUCAAUGAGACAUAAGAAAUACCUUUUCUUGCUGUUUGAGGUUGGUGUGAUUGGGCCACAUAUGUCUGCAUGGAUGAGUUGUAACCUUUGUGAUGCACGUCAUUGACUCUUCUUUGGAAAAGAUUCUCUGUGCUGCUUGCCAGUAAUACAAGCAGUGCAUUCUGUAGUUGAUGCAGGGAGCUGUGGUAGUCCUCGAACCAUCUUCUUAUAUUGCAAGGUUCUUAGUCCUUUGUGGCUGAGAUGGCCAUAUCUGCAAUACCAUAAAUAUGACACAUCUUGUGCAUGUGUAUGGAAACAAGAAACAUCUUUGACUUGAGCCUUUGCUAUUAGCAUAAACAUCUUGUUGACUGUCAUUCUGGUUUGAAUGAUCAGGCCUCUCAUAGGAUGAUAAAUCUUGCAUAUUCCUGAUUUGAUAAGGAUUGCCAGACCCUUUUCUUGUAGCUGGCCUAUGCUUUAGGAGGUUAUUCUUUAGUUUAGGUACAUAGAAUACAUCAGUAACCAUGUACUGCAUGCCAUCCAAAAACAACUUGACUUUUCCUUUUCCAAGAACUGUCAUUCGUGUAUUAUUCCCAAGCUUUACCAGUUGUCUAAAUUCUUCAUUUAAUUCAUAGAGCAUAUCCUUGUCUCCACACAUAUGGUUUGAGCAGCCAGAGUCCAAAAACCAUGCAUCCUCUCGAUUGUUGUCAUACAAUUCCACAUGAGACAUCAAUAGAAUUUCUUCUUCAUUGUUCAGUUCUGCAUAAUUUGCCUCCUUGCUCAUUGUGGGACAUUCAUACUGAAAAUGGCCAAGUUUGUGACAUCUAUAACAUUCAACAGUGGUUUUGUCAAAGGUAUAUUGUUCUCUACCUCUUCCUCCUUUUCUGAAAGCUCGUCUGCCUUGUCCUCUGCCAUAUAACCUUUCUUCAGAUGUCACCUUCAAAGCUUGUUCUACCAUGCUGUGUUUCUGAAAUUUUUGUUCAUGUACAAUCAAUGAGCUUCGUAACUCAUCAAUUGAGAGAACAUCAAUGUCUCUAGAUUCUUCAAUUGAGCAUACUAUGUAAUUGAAUCUGUCAGUCAAGGAUCGAAGAAUCUUCUCCACAAUCGUUACAUCUCGCAUUUGCUCCCUAGAGGUUCUUAUUUUGCUGGCUACAGUCAUAACCUUUGCAAAAUAGUCAGUGAUAUUCUCACCUGUUUUCAUCUCUAGUGUUUCAAACUCCUUCCUUAGUGUUUGAAGGAUUGAACGCUUCACUCUUGCAUUUCCUUCAUAUUUCCUUCAUAUUUCCUUUUCAUUGAGUCCCAAAUUUGUUUAGAGGUGUUCUUCUCCAGAAUAGUUUCAAGUAUGGUUCUGUCAAUGGCCUGAAAUAGGUAGUUCUUCACUUUCAGAUCUUUGAGUUUUAACUCCUCUAAUUUGUUUUGUUGUGUUUCAGUCACACCUACUCCUUCCUCUGGCUCUAUGUAGCCAGUUUCAACCAAGAUCCAGAAUUCCUUGGAUCUCAAGAAAUUCUCCAUUAGCAUGCUCCAGUGAUAGAAAUGACCAUCAAAGCACGACAUGGAUGGUUGUAUAAAAUUGAUGUUAUUGUCAUUCGCCAUCUCUCAGUUUGACUCUCUUUUGUUUUGUAGAUUUCAACAGAAAAACAAAAUCAACUGCAACUUUCUUUUCCUCUCCCUGUAGCUUUCUCUUUCUCUUCCUUUGUUUUGCUCUGAUACCAAUUUGAUAGAAACCGAUAUGCAAGAACACUUGAUGAAUACUGAAUUGUAUGUCAAUCAUGAAUGAACAAUCAUUUGACUUUAUAUAGCCUUUACAAUACUGCAGGGUAACUAAUAACUGCUGCCCCGUGAUCCAAGGAAUCAGUUUGUUAGCUAAGAAUUGAACACUAACAAACUUACUUGACUUAACUAACUGCCAGCUAGAUUAACUAACAAACAACUUCAACAGAUUUAGCUAACAGUAAUAGUGACAGUUAUGGAAUACUUCUCAACAAAAUUAACUCCCACAAUCUUAGAGCACCUGCAAAGGUAACUGAAAUCUACAAGUGCCAGCAAGAUAACAGACAUGACAACAUUCUUUUAUAUAGCUUUCCAUGAUGAAAGAGGUGGAGUGUCUGAAUUCCUGUAUGUAAGCAUGAAAACCUCGUACCUAUCACCCUGAACAACACCUGCAGAAGCGAUGGAUUCGAGUUCCGCCAUUUCAUCUGGUGUUAUUUCACGUUGCCUGUUAUGCUCCAGAUUUUCUGGACGGAACCUAGGCAGAUCCUGAGACAAUUAAUGCAACACAAUUUCAGAAGCUAAGCUUCAGAAAACUCAUCAAAAAGGAAAUCAUCGUAGGUGUAAAGUUUAUGCAAGGCGUUCCAUAUGCACUUGUGACAUUCCUUUUCUAACUAUAAGGUCUUAUGCUACGACAACUGGUUAUUUACUGCGCAAGUACUAGUCGGAAACUUAAUUUUCACAAAGAAGCGUACCGACCUUUCAAAUGUCACCCUCUGAAAAGCUCUUAACCAGCUUAGGCCCCGAUGAAAGGAAUCCCCGUCCUAGGGGACUGUAGGCAACAAUCCCAAUGCCAAGUUCUCUUAUAAAUUAGAAUGAUAAAUUUCAUGGCAUGCAAGGCGGAAUGACGGGUUUUUCUCUAAAUAGAAGAGGUUUUGAAUUUGAUCAUAAAUUGUGAUUUUGAAGGAGUUGUUGUCUGUUAUUAUUUUACUAAAAAACUUAUUGGUUUGCGAGAGUUUAAGUAAGAGGACCAGUUGUAUAAGAAAAAGACACAUCAAUCCAGUGCACCUUAUCUAUGGUAAGUUACAUUAUUAAUUGAUUGUUAUUUUAAAUCAUGUUUCUAUUUGUUGGUCUCAUCUAAGGUUCGAGGUAAAUCUUCUUUCAUGAGAAAGUCUCUAUCCUAUCGGGUUAAAUCCUAACCAUUUUAGUAUCACAUUUAUUUUUUACUUUGUAUCUUUAAUAUCUCAGUAUAUACUUUACAAUGUAAUUUUAUACCCUUAAAUAAUAAAAUCUAGAACUAAUUUCUAAUGUUUAUUGCUAUUAACUCAUUUAAUUUAAUAUUGGAAGCAUGCAUUACGUUGUAAAAUUCAUAUUCUGAAUAUUAAUUAAACAAAUUACUUUUUGUGGUAUUUUUGAGAUUUUGACUAAAUCUUAAUGAACAAUCAUAAAUCGAUUACAAUAUUUAUCUUGUAUUUUUAAAACAUGAUAAAAAUAUAAUUUUUUUUGAAAAUAUAUGUGAAAAGAUUUUUAGAAUUUGGCCAUAUGCACGUGAACAAAACAUAUAUAUUUUUUUAUUUUUGAAAGGAGGAUGUUUUUGAAUUUUUGGAGCAAAAUUAGGUAUUUUUAAUACGAGUCAGUAUCAUACAGUGUAAGUCUAUAACCUGAUAUUAGAUAAAAUUAUUGAAAAAACACACGAGAGACCCAUAAAUAAUUUUAAAAUGAUCCUUGAAUUGUUUCCUACUUUUCCGAACUAGUUUAGGGCAUGUUUGACUAAAUACUAUAAUAAGGACACGAUAAAGAUAAAGCUAAGUUAAAGGAAAUGGUAGGAGGACGUGUUUGCUAAACGUGUCCUUAUCCUAAAAUCAAAGGCAUUGAAAAUACUUUAAGGCUGUGUUUGACAAACAUGUCUUAAAAAAAGGCAUUUUUCCUUUGGUAAAAAUAGGGCAUGCUAAACACACAUUUAAGGUUGGGUUGAGUUUGGCCCAACCACAUGGGCUGGGCUUAUUGGACUCGAGGCCGAAGCUUAACCCGAUUUUGGGCCAACAGACGGCCCAACAAGCUUCUUCUCCUUUUUGUAUAUAUAUGGACUGGACCCAGCCCAGUCGCGCAGGCUAGGCUUGGAUUUGGCCCAUUCAGCUUUGUUAGUGGUCCAACCCAGUGACAUUACCUUCACUAGCAAAUGCAAACAACAUAACGUGAAUUAUUUCACAUUUUGCAUGCACAAAAAGAUGUACUAUAUGUUUUAAAAGGACGAAGAACUCAAGCGAUUCCCAUGAACAAAAACCAUUUUGAUGCUAGUUUAAAACAAACAUAUUUUAAAAAGAACUUGGGUGAUUCCCAUAGAUAAGGUUUCUUGAAGGUUGACUUUCUCUAUGGUAUUGAAGCGUUCAUUUUACUUGUAUGAAUAAUAAAGCAUAAUCAAAGUUUCUUGAAAAGCUUAUUUCACAUGGGAAAGCAUCGUUUACCAAUCCAGAUUGCUUGCCUUUGAUUAAAAAAAGCUUUAUUGGGCAUGCAACGUAGGAUUUGGCUUUUGGUAAUGAAAGAAAAGGAUAUUUGUAGGCUUAAAAGGUGUUUAAGAGAUCUUAAGAUCAAUGAUCACUAAAUCUCGUUUCCAAACCUUACUUUUUGGUCAAAUGAUUCCUAGAUUUUAGGGUUGACUUUGCAAAAUAGUUUAGCAUGCCCCCAAUGUUUAGACUAUUUGACUUUGAGUGUCAUCAUCAUACUAAUUAUUUUCAUUUUGCAUGGCAUGCUCAACCUUUUUGAAUCUUUGAAUUUCUUCAUGCUCUUGCUUUGUUUGGGCACCUUUGAUAAUUGAGGAUUAUUUUGUAUAUUCUUGCGGUCAAAUUGCUUUUCUAAUCUUGGUACGUUCCCCCAAUAUGGGGUAUGAUCCUAGUCAUUGUUGUUUUGCAAGAAAGACUUACUAGGCUCAAUGAGGACUUGCAAAUGAUAUUUUUUAAAAGUAUUGUGAAAGAAUUAUAAAAAAUGACAUUCUCCCAUUUCAAACAUAUGAGUUUAGGAUUAGUAAGCUUUGCUUUCUUUCAUUGUGAUUGUUUGGUCAUGCAAAAUUGUUUUCAUCAUAAUUAAAUUAUGAUUGUUAUUCAGCCAACUAAAACUCAGCUUCAAAGUCAUUUAAAUGGUUUGGUUACCUCACUAGGAGAUCACUUGAACUCGCAAAACUCACUUGUAAAAAGCGAACACUAAUUUGACCUCUGUAUUUGUACUAAUAACUUUGAUUUUCCAAAAAAUAUUUUAUAAAAACACAAAAAAUAAGGUUUUUUGAGCAUAUGAGAUCAUGUAAAGCUUUUUAAAGUUUACAAAAAGAAAGUGCACCAAAACAUUCCUGGCCAAACUUUGAUCUUUAUUGAUAUAUCAAUAAAGUACAUCAUGCAUAAUACUUCUUUAUAAUGUUAGAGUUUACAGGGUUAGGUAAAUCAUCUUCGUCCAUCUUGUUCAAAACCAAGGCUUCUCUAGGAAAGGCUUUAUUCACCACAUAUAGUCCUUCAUAUUUCGAUGCUUAUUUGCUCUGAUCUUCUCCUGAUGUUGGCAAGAUCUUUUUCAAUACUUGGUCUCCUUCUUUGAAUACCCUUGUUCUGACUCUCUUGUUGCAUGCCUUAACCAUUCUACUCUGGUAUAGUUAAUGAUGACAAAUUACUACCAAUCUUUUCUUGUUGAUCAAACUCUACUACUCAAAUUUCAAAUUUGCAUAUUCUGAUUCUUCUAGUUUUGCAUCAUUUAGAACCCAUAAUGAUAGAAUUUCCACUUUUAAAGGUAUCAUCGCUUUCAUCCCAUAUACCAAAAAGUAAAGGGUUGCACCUGUAGAAGUUCUAACUGUGGUGUAAUAUGAGUAAAGUACGUAUGGAAGCAUCUCGUGUUAGUUGUUGUAGGUUACUAUCAUUUUCUGGAUGAUCUUUUUAAGAUUUUUGUUGGCUGCCUCGACAUCACCAUUCAUCUUGGGUAUGUAAAGAGAAGAAUUAAAGUGCUUAAUCUUACACUUGGUGUAGAGUUUAACAAUUAUCUUCUCAUUAAAAUUUUGAGCAUUAUCAGCUAACAAUUUUGCUAGCAUGCCAUACCGACAAAUCAAAUCUUUCUUGAUGAAUCUCUUGACCAUUUUUUAUGUCACAUAUGCAUAAGAGUUGGUUUCUAUGCCCAUUGAUGGCAUUCAAAUUGAUUGGUUCUAUGACAUCUAAUCUCUAUAUAUUGAAAGGCCAAGGUGAGGUCAUGUUGAAUAGGGGUGCCGAAGGUGUAUUUAUAUUAUCCCUAUAUAUCUUACACUUAUGAAAUUUUGUAAUAUAGUUAACACAAUCACUUUUCAUAGUCAAUCAGAAGUAUCUAAAUCACUGCAUUUGUCUUAUCAUUGUAUGCCUAUUAACAUGAGUAACACAAAUUCCCUCAUGAACCUCUUGUAAAGCUUGCUCAACCUAUUUCUCAUUCAAACACUUAAGUAAAGUCCCGUUGAAUGACCUUCUAUAUAAGAUUUCACAAUCCAAGUUAUAAUCCAUGGUCAUCCUUCUCAAAGUCUUUUCAUCCAUCUUGGAGGCUCUUAGAGGAUAUUCUUGAUGCUGGAUAACCUCAUGAUAUCAUUGUACCAUGGUUUUUAAUUUGUUGUCUCUUCAAGUGAGCAAUAAUGAGCUUGAAAAUUUUUGACUUCGAUGUUUAUUGAUUGAAUCUUGCCCCCAAUAUUAAUAUGUGUCAUUAAAGUUAAGGUGGCCAAGGCAUCGACAAACUGAUUCUUAUAUCUGCUCAUAUGAGUGAAUUUUAUCUCAUCAAACUUAUUAGCCAACGUCAAAAGAUAAUCUUGGUAUGACCUUAGUUUCAUCCUUAGUUUGCCAUUCCCCCUUCACUUAGUAGAUAAUUAGUAGUGAAUCUUCAUGAAUAUCUAGUUUUCCAAUUUUUAGCUCUAAAACAGCUUUUAGACUGAUGAUGCAAGUUUUAUAUUCAUCCAUGUUAUUGGUGCAUUCAAACUACAACCUCAUCAAAACAUGGUAUAACUUCUUUUAUGGAGAAAUUAUCACUACUCUAGCCCAUUUCUCUAAUAUAUUCAUUACUCCAUCAAAAUACACGGUUCACCAAUUGUUCAACUCAUCAUCAUCCUCAAUUGCUCAUACAUGCUCAUCAUAAAAUUCAAAAUCUAGUGACUCAUAGUCUUCCACAACAUUAUCUGUAAAAUGGUCAAUAAUUGCACUUCCCUUUUUCAUAACCUAAAUUUGGAUUUCCCCAAAAAUUACCAUUUUAUUUUAAAAUAAAAAGCAACUAAAAAUUAAAAAUUAAAAAUUAAAAAGAUUAGCAACUUGGCAAAAGCAAGCUGAAAAGGGUUUCAAAUGCAUGAAGAAACCAAGCUGAAGUUUUAGACAAAAUCGAAAGCAUAAUUGUACCCAAUUAUACCCAAUACUAGAUGAGAAUGCAAAUUCAAGGUCAAAUUAAAUGAUUAUUGGAUGAAUUAGAAUAAAAAUUAAGUCUAAGGAUUUAAUUAGACUAUUAAUAGGCUAAUUUGAUUUAAUCAUAUGCCCAAUUAAAUGAUUAAUUAAGUUUAAGAAUUAAUUUUGAUCAAAUUAAAAGAAUUAAUAAAGUGCAAAUACUUAAUUAGACUCUUAAUGGGUUAAAUUAAUUUUACUAGGGACUUAAUUUGACAAACGUUAACUUUGGAAGCCUAAUCUAGGCUUAAUUGAGAAGAUUGAAAUUUUAGAGGAUGAAAUUUAAUUUUUACUAGCUCAAUCGGCCAAAAUUAGGAACAAAAUUGCAAGAAAAUUAAAGUUUGGAGGUCAAAUUGAAGAAUUUUAAAAAUCAAGGACCACUUUAUAAAAAACGUAAAAAUUUGAGGGUCCAAUUGAUGAAGGCCAAGGGUAAAAUUGCAAGGAAUCCAAAAGAUUAGGGCUGAUUGGGGGUUUAAUCACAAAGUUCCAAAGGCUUAAGGACCAAAUUGAAAAAUACAUUAUUUCACUAUUCAUCAUCUUUUCCCCAUUUAAACAAGAGAAAAAAGAUGCCAAGUGCCCACCUUUCAACCCUAAUUUCUCCCUCACAUUUCACCAUACCACACAAAUCUUAUACCAACUUAUACCUUAGUAUUUUUACUUUACUCUAAGCCAAAAUUCCAGGUCCAAUGGUACCAAAAACACUUGCAAAUUUUCUACAAAAACAUUAUCCAACACUGUUCUGCUUGUAAAAAUAGCCUUGUAUUCUUUCUUUGUCAGUUGCAGAGUAGGACAAGCUUUUUGUCCAUACCAUGAAAUAUUAUUCCAUCUCAUACCUUGGAAGUUUUGAUUCACUCAAAGUCAAAAUUCCACCUCUAAUAACAUCAAAACCACCUGUAGAUUCUCUCCUAAAAAAGCUACCUAGGAUUAUUCUAUCUGUAAAAAUAGCCUUGGUCCCCCUAUUGUUAGUUGCAGUUCAGGACAAACUUUUGUUCUUAGCUGCAAUAAAUAGCUGAGAUCUAUUCUCUAACAUCAAGGGUCAAUAUCCUAUUAAUGCAUGAACCAUAAAACCUCUUUGUUUCUCCCAUAGAAACCCUCUCAUACUCUCUUUCCAUUGGCAAUAAAUUUACUCACAAGUUCACGAAUGGAAAUGCUCUGUCGCUAAAACUCUCGUCAAUAAUUUUUGGUAUGUUGGUGAGUCUAUCGGUAAUAAAAUGAUGGAUUUACUGAUGGAAAAGGCACGCAAAAAAAAAUACCCACUUCAUUCUGUCAGUAUUUCCCUAAAGAAUUUUGCCAUAUAACCGACAUAAAUACUGUAUGUAAUUCUAUCGGUGAUUAAACAAUGACACAAUGACAUUUGCAGUAAUUCUUUUCUAACUUUCUGGAAUAUACCAACAGAUGUAAUCCAUUGGUAAUACUAUCUAUCUUUAUUUAAAAAUAUUUUUUUAAAAAUCUAUUUAAUAGAAGCAAAGAAUAAUUAAAAUAAAUUAAAAUAAUAUAAAUCAACACUCGAUAAUACUUAGGAACUAAGUUGCAAGGAAAAAAGAAGAAGAAGAAAAUCAACUCAAACAAAUUUGCAACAAAUAAAUAACAUAAAAAAAAAACAACAACAACAAAUAAAUAAAUCAAUGAAAAAAAUCCACCUAACCUAGAAAACCUAUUUCAGAACCCAUAAUCCAGUAACAAAUAAAUUAAUUUAAUUAAAAUUGAACAAAUUUGAAAAACAAAAUCCAACUAAAAUCUAAUAAAAUUGAUCUUAUAUGAAAAUAAUCCUACAACAACAUUCAACAAUUAUUAAGAAUAGAAAAAAUUUAAAAAUAAAAAAAUAAAUAUAAUGUAAAAAAGCACAAAAAAGAAAAGGAAAAAAAAAGAAAAUUCUUACCUUAAUUUAAUUGCGAAUGAGGCUGAGAAGAGAAAAGAAAAAAAAUAAAUUUAUAAAGUAUGUUAAUUAAAAAAAACUAACAAGAGAAAAGAAGAAAGAGAAGAGAAGACAUUCAUGCGCAUGGAGGAGAAGAGAAAAGAAGAGGAGUUGAAGAUAGAAGAGAAAGAAAGAAAGGGACGUUGGUGUUUUUUAUAUAAAAAGAGGAGAAGAAGAAGAAUAAGAUAAAGAAAAAGAAAAAGAAAAAGAAGAUGAAGAUGAAGAAGAGGCAUGCUUAUUAUGAAAUGAGAGAUUAUGGUUUUUUUACUAGGGCAUUUUACCAAUGAUUUUACCGAUAUAUAAUUAAAUAUUAAUGUUUUUAAUUAUUUUAUUAGUGAUUUCAUCUAUAAUAUUUAAUUUAAAUCUUCAAUUUAAUCAAAAAUUUUCGGAAACCCUAAAAAAAUCAUCAACAACUUUUCAAUUCAUCAGUGAUUCUGUCUGUAAUUUUUAAUUCACAUUUUCAAUUUAAUAAAUUUUUCUUAGAAACCCUCCAAAUGUCACUGACGACCUUUGAAUCCAUCAGUGAUACCAUCUGUAAUAUUUAAUUUGAUAAAAAAAAUUUCAGAACCCUCCAAAUAUUACCGACAACUUUUCAAUCCGUAUGUGAUCCAUUCUAUAAAGAACAAUAAUUAACAGUGAAAUUAAAAAAUAAACAAUUCUAGAACUCUAUGGAAAAUACCAACAGAAUUAAUCCGUUGGUGAUUAUGUAUUUAAUUAACACAAUGAAUAGUGUCAAGGAGAAGGGAACAAUUUCAAAGCUCUCAUGAACAUUUUACCGACAGGUAUACAGACAGAUUUUACCAAUGGUAUUAAUACCGACAAGUAUACGGACAUAUUUUACCAAUGGUAUUAAUACCGUUGAUAUAAAUAACACGUCAUCGUACUUUUUUUCUUUUUUUAAUCCCUUUUUUUCCCAUUUUAAUUCCCCUAGUAUAUAUCAAAGGAAUAUUUAUGUCGGUGUUUUCCGAUGGAUAUAACAAGGGAAUAUGUUGUUGGUAGAAUUCAAUGCAAUUUACCGACAAAAACAUUCUGUCGGCGUUGCCAUUUGUAUUUGCCAAUUUUUUGGUAGUGAAAGGGAAAUAAUGCUUGCAAUUGAAGGCUCCAUGGUGGCAAGAUUCACGAUAGCAGCAACAGGGGAAGGUUGUACGACAAUAGCAACAUGAGAAGAUUCCAAAGCAGAGGGAGAAGAAAAAGACUAAGGAUUCACGACAGCAGCAGGACAAGCUUUCUAAGCAGAGGGAGAAGAAAAAAAAAUUCUACACCAUAGGUUGAGAUGAAAAGUCCAUUAAAGAGAAGAAAAGAAAGUUUUAAAGUGUAAUGACUCUAAUAUCAACUUGAGAAUAAUAUGAGGUUUAAUCUAUUAGUUAGCCAACCUUUCUUAUUUAUAUAUGUAAGGCAAUGUACAAUAGUUAAUGUAGAGAUUACAACACAAGAAUACUAAAACUUUCCUAAAUAUAUUUAUACAAGCCUUUCAUAUAUCAUAUACUAUAUUAUUAGAUUACACAAACAUUUAUUCUCUUUCUUAAGGCUGAGAUGCAAUUCAUUAGGCUAAGCUCCAAUAUGAAAUCCAUUGCUUUUUCCAUCGAUCAAUAACUAGCUUUAAAUGGGUUUUUUUCUCUCGUUUUCAAACCAAUUUGUCAUCACCUAGUUUUUGAACCCUAGUUUUCAUCAUUUUCCAAAAAAUAAAAAAAAUAAAAUACAAAACUCACAAAAAACAUGUUUUCAACGCGAUUAGACCAAUGAACAACUAUUUCAUAAUUUUCAACCUUUUUGCAUAUUGUUUUUGUGUUCGCAAGUUUAAAAAAUAAUAAAUAAUAUUUAAAGUCUUGUGGGUUUGUGCUUGUUGCGCGACAACCCUGAUGGUAUGAUGUCAUCAUGGAAUUUAUUUUUAUGGUGAAAUAAGGUUGAAAAUUAAUACCCCGCAAUGAGGUUGGAAGGAUUGGAUCGCAAAAGCUUUAUCUGAUGCAUAAUAGUUUGGUCUCGAUGUGGAUUUUAAUAUAAGUUUGAUUUUCUUAUGAGUUUUAAUGUGCACUGAUCUGUUUGUUAAAUUAUGAUUUUUGGUGAUGUUAUUUUUAAAUUGUGAAUUUUAUUAUGUGUUGACAUUUUUUUUUGUGAAAUUUGUAUGUGCAUGCCUGAUUUUCAUUAUGUUUAAUUUUUUUCAUGAUGAAUUUUUUGAAAGUGUUUUCACAUAAAAAGCUAAAAAAACAUAAAAAUCUAUGAAUAUAAAAAAAAUGACAUGUUCUUUUUAUUUUUUUAUUUGUGUAUUUAGAAUAGACAAACUUUAGCAUGUAAGAACAUUAAACACAUUUUAUCAUUGAAAAUAAACAACAAUGUAUCUUACCUUAAAUAUGAUAUAUAAGGUGAUGUCAGCCCCUCACCUAGAACCUCUAAGACUAAUUAGGGUUUCUAGUUACUAUAAAACUAGGUGGUAACCCCUUUUCAUCUUUUGUUUUUACCCUUUUAACAUGUAGCUCGCCUCGAUGUCCCCUUCAACACCACUAAUCCAAACCCACCAAAGCACUAAACUUUUGUACUUUCCAAGACCCCAUUUUAGUACUCAUUUCACUAGAGCUAGAAUUUUCAAGUUCCCUUAAAAGGGGUAUUUUUUGUUCAUCCUGAUAACCAAAACCCAAAACUUGAUUUGACUGAAAAUGAAUCCAACCCCAUAAAGGAAAUAAUUUUGUUCUUUAUCCUCUUUUAUGUUUUUACUUAUAGUAAAUUAAAUCUAGCCUCCAAGAAGAAUCCAAAGACUAAAGAACCCUAAUUCAAUAAAAACUCAGCUUCUCAUUCUCCAAAAAUAGGUUUUGCCGCAAUGGAUCUGGAUGAAACGAAUACGAGAAUCUAGCAACAGGAAGAGAUAACCACGGUAAACCAUGAAAUCAUAUGAGAAAAAGCGAUUACAAUCACUGGUUUUUUUUGUUCGAUUUGGGUUUAGAAGGAGGGAGAAAUUGAUUUUUCAAUGAGAAGUUUUUUAGUUUAUUGAUGAGAAAGAAGAAGUUAUCUAUCAUUUGAGUUGAUUUUUAAUAUAAUAUAGAUGGGGUAUUUUGUUAUUUCUGUUGAAUUUAGAAUUUUCUUUGACAUGUGAUGGAAAUUGUAAUUUUUCAAAACUUGGUAAGUGGAAUUUUGACCAAACUAUAGGAUGGUAAGGGUAAUUUUUCAUUUAAUAUUUUAAGACUUGAGGGCUCUUUAGUCAUUAAUUAUAAUAUAAUGACAAUCUCGUAAAUAAUUUAAACUGUUUUGUUAAUUUUUUUUAACGAAGAUGUAAAGUAUUGUACAACUUUAAAAAUUAUUGACUCUGGAUGUAAACUGUAAUUUUUAAAAGAAUGGAGAUAAAGUAAAAAAAUAAUUAAACUAUAAAUAAAAAAUCACACUUAGCAUCCUAAUAUCUGGCAUGAAUUGCAAUUAGGAAAUUUGAUGAAAUGACCAUAUUGUCUUUAUAUAUAUUGAAAUGAACCUUUAUAUAUAUAUAUAUAAAUGAAAACUAACCAAACAACAUAUGAGUAGCUUUGUUACCUUUUCUCUUAGACCAAAUCACCCCCACUCUCUCUCAAUUGCAUUUUUCUCUCGUCUUCUGAAUGAAAUUCAUAUCCAAAUCAAUGAAUUUUGUCUAAUUUGAGUUCAUCAAUAACCAUUUAUUUUUCAAAAAAUCCUAAUGGUUACUUGGUGGCAUUUUUAUUAUUUUUGAAUUUCAAUGGCUCUUUAGUCAUUAAAUAAAUCAUAAUAGUAAACCUAUAAAUAAUUAGAUAUGUUUUAUUGAUAUUUUUUUUAAAAAAAGAUAUUAAGUGUUAGCACAUCUAUAAAUUUAAUCACAAUUCAAACCGAUCCUCGUAAUGUCAAAGAUAAUUUUCAAUUAUAGAAAGAUAAUAUCAAAGAUAUUUUUCAAUUUAAUCACAAUUAUUUUUCUCUAAAAAUAUUUUUUCUCGGUUGAAAAUACAAGAUGAGGUUUGUUUUUAUCCUUAUGUGAUAUGGAUAUCACGUUGGAAGUUAAAAGACACAUGUCAAAACUUGCAUUCACUCAUGCGAAAACCAAUAGGGAAGGUGACCCAUACAAACCACAUGUACCAAUAAUAUAUAAAUCUUGCUUUACAUAUGAAAGUAAUAUUGGAUUUCUGAAUGUUAUACACGCAACAAAAAUAAUAAAAUAAAAUUACCCAAGAGUUCUAUUUAUUUUAGAUAGAUCUAGAGUUAUUUAGAAAUUUAUUACCUGAAGAUUUAAUCUUCUUCGACUUUCAAUAAUUCUUUAAAAAAGAUUGUCGCAAACCACAAGUCGUUCAAUUGUUCAGCCUCUAAUGAUAAUCCACACGAACCAUUAGUGAAAAAUCUUUCAAAUUCCUAUUUAGAAGAGAGAGAUUGUUAUGCCUAGAGUGCUAGCUCUCUGUUAUGUGACUUACAUAGUUUUUCUGUCUAAUAGACAACCACUCCUUAAAAAAAUAAGAGGCACAAUAUAUUAUUUAUAAAAAAUAUGAAAAACCCUAUAACUUGGUAAGUAUCAAUUUACCCCUUAAAUAAUAUCUAUAUAUUAUUUAAGGAUAAUUUUAAAAAUUUAAUCAAUCAAGUCUCUACUUGAUUAUUUUCGGACUAUAAUUAUAAUCCCUGAAAUAAAUACAUUUCAAUGCUUAAUUUCUAAAAUUAUUUUCAAUCAAGUCACACUUGAUUAAUUAUCUUAGUUUAAUUUCUAACUAAUAGUUCUUAAUAUGUGUGACUCGUUAUGUUCUUAAUUUCUAAGUCUUUUCAAAUCUCAUUCCACCUUGACCAAUGAUUUCUCAGUUAAUACUAUUUGAUAACAGAUAAAAUAUUUUCUCCAAUUCUCCUAGGAUUAUGAAUUCUCUCUUGAUCACUCAAAUACCUUCAUAUAGUUCAUGUUAUACCUAAUGUUUUCCAUUUCAUCUCCUUGAUUAAGAUAACAUGUAAUGACAUCAAAGCAUAACAUCUUUUAUAUAAGAUAACUUAGUGUCUCAAGUGUAAGGAUCACUUACACAACCGAUAUGUGAGCCUUUCUAUAGACAUAUAUGAUCUCUUCAUAUAAAAUCCUCAUGCAGGUCAAGUUAGUAUAUAUAUCCUAUGAUAAACACUCACAUAUUAGUUCUAGAUAUCCCUUAUAUCUCAGCUUAUGAGAACAACCACUUCCUUUCACACAAAAAAGAACAUAAUAUGUACUAGUCUCUACGACUCUAAUAAAUGUUCAAUAUUUAAGAGAGUAUCGACCAUAAACAUUUUAAGAUCAAUGCUUUGAUGCAAUAGUAAUCUCAUAAUUAUAACAACUUUAUAAUUUUAUUUGUAAAACAUUUUUUUUACUAUAAACAUUAUCUUUACUCUAGAUUCAUAAAUUAAAUAUUAGAUUUAUUAAUCUAAUAUUAUAUAAAUAUUAAUGAUAAAUUAACUUUUUAUUAAUAACAAAUAUAUAUUUACACAAAUAUAAUAAUAAAACUACUAUAUAACUACAUAGUAUAUUAAACUAAUUAACAAGUCAAGGCAAUGACAUGACUCUCUUUUGGAUACAAAUUGAAAUCCCAACGCAAACAGCCAUUGACAUGCAAAUGCUAGACUAUAUACAACCUUCAAUUAGGGCAUGAUCACAAACCCCGCGACUUGUUUUCCACUAUGCAUAAAGCAUAGAUAUUAAAUCAAAGUAGGGAUUGGAAGAUUUACAUGGAAAACUUGGAAUUUCGAGUUUAACCAGAGCCAAGUUUUUAGCAUAAAAUAUAGUAGUUAAAUCCGACUAGAUUUUUAAUGAUCCACUUAAUCUCGUUUUAUAAAUGGUAUCCCUGAGUUCACAUGUUCUUUAUCUCCAACUUGGAAUGGCAUUGUUUCGACGAUCUUCUCAACACAAAACAUAUCCAAUCUUUUACAUGCAAAUGUCGGGUUCAAGGUGGGUGAUGGGAGGAACAUCCGGUUUUGGACUGACUCUUGGCUUGGCUCUACAACCACUCUCCAACUCUUAUUCCCCAGACUGUAUAACCUCUCCCUGCAGCAACAAUCCAGCCUUGCAGAUAUAUGUGAUUUGACAGAUACAUCUUUCAACCUAUCCUGGAGAAGACCCCUCCGGCCUCGUGAAAACUGCAUGAGGGAGAGCUUGAUCGCAGAGGUGCAGCGUGGUCUCAUUUUCUCAGAUGGUGCAAACCGCAAGGUAUGGAAAUUUCACAGCUCUGGCAUGUACUAAGCUCAAUCAGGUUGCGCUCUUUUUGAUAGUCUAUCGGUAACUGAAAAUAAUCACUCCCCUGUUCUGCUAUGGAAUGGUUAUGCUCCUCCAAAAGUGGAUGUGUUCAUAUGGCUUCUUCUUCAUGGCAGUUUGAGUACACGGAUUUUUUUAGCUGAGAGGAGAAUCAUUAAUUAUGAGGAAUCUCACUACCCAUUCUGCUGCAAGGAAAUUGAGACAAUUAAUCAUCUCUUCCAUUGGUGUCCUAUAACAUGGUCUCUUUGGGGUCGUUUCUUGAACUGGUUUGGGUGCUUAGGUUGUUUGCACAAAGACCCAUAUCAACAUCUACAGGAAUGGUCCGGUUUGAUUAAUGGAAAUUUUCAGCGACGUGCUAUUACCCUCCUUUGCAAAGGUCUGUACUGGUCAAUUUGGAUAGCGCGCAACCGCCUAAUCUUCGAAUCCAAGGCUCCGGAUUGGGAUAUGAUUUUUGAUCUCACCUUUCACCAUUUGGCCUUCUGGUUGAAGUCUUCAGUUAGAAAUUUCAGCUAUACAGGCUCAGAUCUUUUUAGAAAUCCUGAAUGUAUUAUGAACUGGACUAAUUAAUUAGGUCCCGCGUCGCUUUGGUCUUCUCUUUUCUUUUACAUUCUCAUUGUAUUUAUCUUUCGUUCAGUUCCACCUACUUAAUGGGUCUGUUUAAUAUAUAAUUCACUCGUUUACUAUCAAAAAAAAAAAAUUAUUCUCUUCAGGAGUUCAAAUGGUGUACAAACUCUUAUUCUCUUCCAGAAGUUCAAAUGGUGUACAAACUCUCACAAUUUUCGAAAACUUCAAAGGGAGCUGAAAUCCACGAGUAGAAGCAAGACAGCAUGGCAUGGCAGCUAGCAUGCCUUCUAUACAGCUUUCCAUGAUGUAAGAGGUGGAGUAUCUGAAUCCUUGAAUGUUAACAUGCCAUAGCCGUACCGAUCUCCCCUUACAGCAUCCGAAGAAGCUAUCGAUUCGAGUUCAGCCAUUUCUUCUGGCGUUAGUUUGACAGACAGAGCUCCAACAUUCUGGUUGAAGUUUUUGAUCUUGGUGGUUCCAGGAAUAGGACAAACAUCAUCACCCUGGUGGUGUACCCAGGCCAACGCCAGCUGCGAUGAAGUGCACUGUUUCCUUGCUGCGAUUUCAUUAACCCGCUCAAAUAGUUGUGUAUUAUGCUCAAGAUUUUCAGGUCGGAACCUAGGCAAACCCU
Molecule: long non-coding RNA, 43623 nt
Filed under: Populus trichocarpa (black cottonwood)
Lineage: Eukaryota; Viridiplantae; Streptophyta; Magnoliopsida; Malpighiales; Salicaceae
Description: long non-coding RNA (PTRI_LNC000765)
Rfam family: MIR2912 microRNA precursor family (bases 11815-11970)
Source: RNAcentral